GCUUCAGUAGUUCAAAGGUAGAACAUACGAUUGAAACUCGUAGGAUUCUGGUUCGAUUCCAGGCUGAAGCAC
Molecule: transfer RNA, 72 nt
Filed under: Yasminevirus sp. GU-2018
Lineage: Varidnaviria; Bamfordvirae; Nucleocytoviricota; Megaviricetes; Imitervirales; Mimiviridae
Description: partial tRNA-Phe(gaa)
Rfam family: tRNA
About the family: Transfer RNA (tRNA) molecules are approximately 80 nucleotides in length. Their secondary structure includes four short double-helical elements and three loops (D, anti-codon, and T loops). Further hydrogen bonds mediate the characteristic L-shaped molecular structure. tRNAs have two regions of fundamental functional importance: the anti-codon, which is responsible for specific mRNA codon recognition, and the 3' end, to which the tRNAs corresponding amino acid is attached (by aminoacyl-tRNA synthetases). tRNAs cope with the degeneracy of the genetic code in two manners: having more than one tRNA (with a specific anti-codon) for a particular amino acid; and 'wobble' base-pairing, i.e. permitting non-standard base-pairing at the 3rd anti-codon position.
Source: RNAcentral